This 1549-nucleotide long non-coding RNA is filed under the name Homo sapiens (human). RNAcentral describes it as "non-protein coding lnc-RUBCN-2:3". Lineage: Eukaryota; Metazoa; Chordata; Mammalia; Primates; Hominidae. The record is from RNAcentral.
CAGCAGCCAAGGAAGAAGCAGCGACCUGGCGUCUGCUCGGGCCAGGGAGUGAUAUCGGACACCCAGCUUCGGCAAGCUCUCUCCAAGGGAUGAAGCCCCACCCGCUGUACAGGAUGCAAAGCCCUCCUCUAUAAAGUGCGUGCGGGGCCAGAUGCAGUGGCUCACGUCUGACCUCCCAACACUUUGGGAGGCCGAGGCAGGGGCAUCGUUUGAGACCAGCCUGGACAACAUUGUGAGACCCUGUUCCUUGAAUUGCCCUGGGAGAUUUCCUCAGCUUGUACUGGAGGUGUGUGGCCCCAUGAAGCCCAUAGUCACCGUUCACCCUGAGAGACGCUGGCUUUGGGGCUCACAUGCCUGCUGCGGGGCAGCCCCAGGAGAUGGCCACCCUGUUUCUCCUGGAGCUGGAGCUGCGCGUGUUCAACUGUGGUGGCUGUCCUGUUUUGUUUGCAUCUUAUAAACCUUUACCUGAUUACAUUUUCCUCUUCAAUUUAGCUGCUAGAAAACUUAAAGUCAGAUUGGUGGCUCACCAGUAAUGAGAGUUUAGAGUAGAGGUAAACUUUAUGACAUAGUCUUAGACUCUUCACUUUCUCCUCAGCCAACAUGAUUCACAUUUACUUUAUUUUGCUGUACUGUGAGUGUCUUUGUGUUUCCUGAAUUCCUUCUGGAAUAAGGCAGGUUGUUAGUAAGCACAGGUUUCUGGUCCAUCUCAUAGCCUCAGGCAGUGGGCGGUGCUGUCCGUGCUCCCUUUCUGGGUUACCUGUGGUAGCUCUGAAGUUGCAGGGCUGCGAUUUGAAGCCUGAUUUAGUACACCGUGUUUCUGUUGUGUUCUGUGGUGGUUUGCUCCUCACAUGUGAGCAUUCACCCUGUGGCCCUGUGUUUUUCCACCACACCUCUGCCUGGUGGCAUCCUACUGGAUGUCUCAGCCGAGCCACUCUGUUCUGAAGACGCCCUUGUCCUCCACCCCUUUGCUUUGGGCUCUGAGCUUCUUCUGCCUUUCAUCUCUGUAGGAUGAAGCCCCACCCGCCCUUCAGGAUGCCAGCCUUGGCAACAUUGUGAGACCCUGUUUCUACAAAAAGUAAACGUGUAGUGGUGCACGCCUGUAGUUCUAGCUACUUGGGAGGCUGAGAUGGGAAGAUCACUUCAGCCUGGGAGGUUGAGGCUGCAUUGAGCUGAGAUCAAGCCACGGCACUCCAGCCUGGGAGACAGAGCGAAACCCCAUCUCAAAAAAACAAAGAAAGUGGAUGCACGCUGCUCCUGCCAUUGGAUCAUCGCAGCAUUUUUCUUUUCUCUGAUAUGCGCCUUUUUCCUCAUCGUGGGGGCUCAUGUUUUUGUACUUUCCUCUCGCUACUAGAUUGUGAGCUGCGUGAAGGAAGGUUCAUAGUUGUGUUGUAUGUACAGGCACACAAAAUUUGUCCUUGGAUAGACACAUAUCAAUCCGCUUCCUUCUCCUCUCUGAAGUUCUUUAUUUAAAAAAAAAAAUUAGAGAUGGAGUCUCACUGUCUUGCCCAGGCUGGUCUCAAACUCCUAGGCUCAAGCGAUCCUCCCGCCU